RNAcentral lists this ribosomal RNA (615 nucleotides) under Salmonella enterica subsp. enterica serovar Infantis. RNAcentral describes it as "partial 23S ribosomal RNA". It matches the Rfam family "Bacterial large subunit ribosomal RNA", at positions 2188 to 2802 of the family's 2925-position model. RNAcentral also lists the same sequence under 7 other names. The record is from RNAcentral. Lineage: Bacteria; Pseudomonadati; Pseudomonadota; Gammaproteobacteria; Enterobacterales; Enterobacteriaceae.
GACCUUGAAAUACCACCCUUUAAUGUUUGAUGUUCUAACGUGGACCCGUAAUCCGGGUUGCGGACAGUGUCUGGUGGGUAGUUUGACUGGGGCGGUCUCCUCCUAAAGAGUAACGGAGGAGCACGAAGGUUGGCUAAUCCUGGUCGGACAUCAGGAGGUUAGUGCAAUGGCAUAAGCCAGCUUGACUGCGAGCGUGACGGCGCGAGCAGGUGCGAAAGCAGGUCAUAGUGAUCCGGUGGUUCUGAAUGGAAGGGCCAUCGCUCAACGGAUAAAAGGUACUCCGGGGAUAACAGGCUGAUACCGCCCAAGAGUUCAUAUCGACGGCGGUGUUUGGCACCUCGAUGUCGGCUCAUCACAUCCUGGGGCUGAAGUAGGUCCCAAGGGUAUGGCUGUUCGCCAUUUAAAGUGGUACGCGAGCUGGGUUUAGAACGUCGUGAGACAGUUCGGUCCCUAUCUGCCGUGGGCGCUGGAGAACUGAGGGGGGCUGCUCCUAGUACGAGAGGACCGGAGUGGACGCAUCACUGGUGUUCGGGUUGUCAUGCCAAUGGCACUGCCCGGUAGCUAAAUGCGGAAGAGAUAAGUGCUGAAAGCAUCUAAGCACGAAACUUGCCCCGA